This 447-nucleotide ribosomal RNA is filed under the name uncultured bacterium. RNAcentral's name for it is "bacterial SSU rRNA". It matches the Rfam family "Bacterial small subunit ribosomal RNA", at positions 329 to 793 of the family's 1533-position model. The record is from RNAcentral.
UGCCAGACUCCUACGGGAGGCAGCAGUGGGGAAUAUUGCACAAUGGGGGAAACCCUGAUGCAGCGACGCCGCGUGAGCGAUGAAGUAUUUCGGUAUGUAAAGCUCUAUCAGCAGGGAAGAAAAUGACGGUACCUGACUAAGAAGCCCCGGCUAACUACGUGCCAGCAGCCGCGGUAAUACGUAGGGGGCAAGCGUUAUCCGGAUUUACUGGGUGUAAAGGGAGCGUAGACGGUGAGACAAGUCUGAAGUGAAAGCCCGGGGCUCAACCCCGGGACUGCUUUGGAAACUGCCUGACUGGAGUGCUGGAGAGGCAAGCGGAAUUCCUAGUGUAGCGGUGAAAUGCGUAGAUAUUAGGAAGAACACCAGUGGCGAAGGCGGCUUGCUGGACAGUAACUGACGUUGAGGCUCGAAAGCGUGGGGAGCAAACAGGAUUAGAUACCCCAGUAU